CAGAUACUUCCUUUUAAGAAUUGGUUGGGUAAUUAUGAGGAUGUCUGUCUGAAGGACCACCGUUGCCACAAGCAGACAAGGAUGGAAGGAGUGAUUGUGUGACCAGUGCUGCACCGUCUUGACUGCCAGACGUUACCCUCUAGGCUGCUUCUCCUUGUGAGUCCCUCAGCGGGAACACUGUCCAAACUCAGAAGGAAGGAAGGAAGGGAAAGGAACACAUUUACAGACACUCCUACUCUUAUACUGAUUACCUCUGUCUCACGUUAUAAAUUCUCAGGCUGUGGCACUUGUGAAAACCCACCAGAGCAUUUGCGUUUCUUUGUCCAGCAUACAUUUAAUACAUGUUUCUCCAAAAGCCAGUCACGUGUGCACCGGACAACGUAAGAUUGUCUCGCAGGUGAUUCAACCGCAGACAAACAGGUCUUACACAUGUAUGUCCUGUAGGACGUAGUUCGGCAGAGAUGAAUGAGUGUUAGCAGAAAAUAGGCCUAAAGGCAGCCUCAUUAUCUAGUUAUUUUAAAUAUCCUAUUACUCCAAUAAAAGUAUUA
This is a long non-coding RNA of Liolophura sinensis, 548 nucleotides long. RefSeq lists it as uncharacterized. NCBI's taxonomy places the organism in Eukaryota, Metazoa, Mollusca, Polyplacophora, Chitonida, Chitonidae. The transcript is spliced from 3 exons. The record is from RefSeq and is a predicted model, not a curated record.